AGAGUUUGAUCCUGGCUCAGGAUGAACGCUGGCGGCGUGCUUAACACAUGCAAGUCGAACGAGGUCCAUGGAGCUUGCUCCGGAAGAUCUAGUGGCGAACGGGUGCAUAACACGUGAGAAACCUGCCUCAGUCUCUGGGAUAACAGUUGGAAACGACUGCUAAUACCGGAUGCCGUCACACCAUCACAUGGUGGAGUGACGAAAGAUUUAUCGGAUUGAGAGGGUCUCGCGGCCUAUCAGCUAGUUGGAGAGGUAACGGCUCACCAAGGCAUCGACGGGUAGCUGGUCUGAGAGGAUGAUCAGCCACACUGGGACUGAGACACGGCCCAGACUCCUACGGGAGGCAGCAGUGGGGAAUCUUGCACAAUGGGCGAAAGCCUGAUGCAGCAACGCCGCGUGCGGGAAGAAGGCCCUAGGGUUGUAAACCGCUUUCAGUAGGGAAGAAAAUGACGGUACCUACAGAAGAAGGUGCGGCCAACUACGUGCCAGCAGCCGCGGUAAU
Molecule: ribosomal RNA, 502 nt
Filed under: uncultured soil bacterium
Lineage: Bacteria
Description: bacterial SSU rRNA
Rfam family: Bacterial small subunit ribosomal RNA
Source: RNAcentral